GAAAUGCGAUAAGUAAUGUGAAUUGCAGAAUUCAGUGAAUCAUCGAAUCUUUGAACGCACCUUGCGCUCCUUGGUAUUCCUUGGAGCAUGCCUGUUUGAGUAUCAUGAAAUCUUCAAAGUAAAUCUUUUGUUAACUCAAUUGGUUUCUACUUUGGUAUUGGAGGUCUUUGCAGCUUCACACCUGCUCCUCUUUGUUCAUUAGCUGGAUCUCAGUGUUAUGCUUGGUUCCACUCGGCGUGAUAAGUUAUCUAUCGCUGAGGACACUGUAAAAGGUGGCCAAGGUGAAUGAAGAUGAACCGCUUCUAAUAGUCCAUUGACUGGACAAUACUUUUAUGAUCUGAUCUCAAAUCAGGUAGGACUACCCGCUGAACUUAAGC
This 377-nucleotide unclassified non-coding RNA is filed under the name plant metagenome. Its description in RNAcentral is "partial contains 5.8S ribosomal RNA, internal transcribed spacer 2, and large subunit ribosomal RNA". The stretch from base 1 to 105 matches the Rfam family "5.8S ribosomal RNA", at positions 50 to 154 of the family's 154-position model. The record is from RNAcentral.